UACGUAGGUCCCGAGCGUUGUCCGGAUUUAUUGGGCGUAAAGCGAGCGCAGGUGGUUUAUUAAGUCUGGUGUAAAAGGCAGUGGCUCAACCAUUGUAUGCAUUGGAAACUGGUAGACUUGAGUGCUGGAGAGGAGAGUGGAAUUCCAUGUGUAGCGGUGAAAUGCGUAGAUAUAUGGAGGAACACCGGUGGCGAAAGCGGCUCUCUGGCCUGUAACUGACACUGAGGCUCGAAAGCGUGGGGAGCAAACAGG
Molecule: ribosomal RNA, 252 nt
Filed under: uncultured bacterium
Lineage: Bacteria
Description: partial 16S ribosomal RNA
Rfam family: Bacterial small subunit ribosomal RNA
Source: RNAcentral